This is a long non-coding RNA of Tachysurus fulvidraco (yellow catfish), 3875 nucleotides long. RefSeq lists it as uncharacterized. The record is from RefSeq and is a predicted model, not a curated record. The transcript is spliced from 5 exons. Lineage: Eukaryota; Metazoa; Chordata; Actinopteri; Siluriformes; Bagridae.
AAAAGCUAAUGAGUGAUGUAUCUGAAUGAAUGAAUGCUGAUAGUAAUUAAUAUGUUCAGUAUUUUAAAUGUUGUAAGUAAUGAGUUAAUGACGUGUGGAGAAAUGUAUUCCUAAAAUGUAAACAAAUGACAAGUACCAGUUCUAAUAUCUUUAUUUCUACAGCCAAAGUCCUGGAAUAAAAAUGAUCAGAAUUAGAUUGUUAAAUUCAGUGUUAAACUGGAUAAAAUGAUGUCUAUUAACCCUAGUUUGAACAUUAGCAGGACCUUCCACACCUCAAUCUUCAGUCAGCUUAGAUACAGAUACACUCUCUCUGACUUCAAAAAGCAGUGCCAGUGAGGACAGUGACUGGUUUAGUCCAAAACGAUUCAGAAAGGAUGAUGAUGAGGCUUCACAAAGCACACAGGCCAGAGAUUUGAUAAAAACAAAUUCUACAGACAAGACCGGUGUGCUUACAAAUGUGCUUAAGGAGUAUGAAGAUGCAGGGACAAUUAGUGAUGACACGAGAAAAGUGAUGGUGAACAUCUUAGUUGCACACAUGAUUGAAACAGAAGGGUAAUUAUCAAAAUAUAAUUGUCUUGGGUUGUUGAUUUGUUCGUGAUUAUGACAAUACAUAGAUUGUGAAGUAUAUUGAUCUAGUUGGGUGUUACAAAUUUUAUUCUGCUAAUUUUCUAGCUGAUAACCUGUUGAUUUUGUUCUGAAAGUUAGAGUAGUUUAGUUAAAUAUUAUAAAAUUUUUUAAUCAAUAUAUAGUAACAUUGGAGUGUUCCCAUUCUUCAGGAGAGUCCCACAUCGACAUACCAAACAGAAUUACUCUCUCACUCACUCACUCAUUUUCUACCGCUUAUCCGAACUUCUCGGGUCACGGGGAGCCAGGCGUCAUCGGGCAUCAAGGCAGGAUACACCCUGGACGGAGUGCCAACCCAUCGCAGGGCACACACACACUCUCAUUCACUCACUCAAUCAAACAGAAUUAUGGUUUGGGAAUUAUCACCUUGUUUCCCUCACUCAGAGAUCCCCAAGGGAGGACUGGAUAUGCAAGUGAUUAUCAAUGAUCAGGGCAUUCAAUAUUUUUGUUGUCAUUUUGAAGUGUUUUUCUAGUAAGUUGUAAUUUUCAUGCGAGAGUUAAAUUAAGAUUUUGUCAUUUGUCAGGAACAUUUUUAUGAUGGCCAAAAAAACACUGGAUUCUUGUCGUGGCCCCUCAAGACAGUACAAAGGGGGAUGAAAGCUUCUGCAAAUAAAGAUGAUCCAAAAACAGAGGAAAAAGGAGGCCCUUUGCUUGACAGACAGUCGUGUUACCAUGAAGAUCAGCUGGAUGAUGAUCAAAGUCUAGAGGCCAUCUCUUUGAUGAAUCAUACAAGCGAACGUGAGGUCAUUAUGCAGAAAAUGAGGGCAACGUUUGAAUACAGACAGCGCCUUGUCCAUGAUCCAGAGAGAUCCACCGCCGUUCUCUGUUUUUCCUAGAUUUCUGGAUACUAAAGGAUUGAUUCUUCAGGACUUCACUCUCCUCUUUGGGUCAGAAACUGCUUCCAGACUUUUGGAAAGGUUAUCAGACUAGCAGAAACCUUGACUCCUACUCCACUGCUGAAAAGAUUACUGUCAUCUGCCAAACAGAACAGAGAAGGCAGCGAGGCACAAGAUUCCCCAGAUUUGGGACGGUGACACAUCUUCAUUCCUUCUGCUUCUGCAUCUCUUAUCACCCCAGGCUUCAGGAAGAAAGAAAAUCCAUAAGAUCAGUGUUUGUCAGGCUGUUGACCAUCUGGUGGUAUUUCACAAAACAUGCCGGAGUAUACAGGAACACCUUGAGACAGAAGAGAAUAGUCAACCAUACAUUCUUGCCUCAGGGUGCAGCAAAGAAGCCAUCAGUCAGUUCUUCAUCGUGGUUGAUAAAAAGAUCAUCCCCUGUCAAGCAUCCUCUUCACUAGCAGCAAUUGAUGAACUGUUCAAGGUCCAUUUUGUCUUCAGCAUCAGCUAUGAUCUUCCAUUCAAAAAUCUAUACACUUUUGUCCAAACUACUGUCUAUGGAAUUGAUGUUGGCACCACAAGUGAGAGCCCAAGGGUAAAGGAGCUCAGAGCUAAAUUCUUGAAUGAUAUUUAGAUGCUACAUCUGCAAAUCACUGCUUGGUACAACAGUUAAAUUAAUUCGGCACCUUAAACUUGUAUAUGGUUUGUACCCUGGGAAGAAAUUUGAGCUAGUUUAUGCUCAGGAUGGCUGUAACUUGCAAUUUAAAAGUUAUGCAGGGUUUAGAAAACAUUUAACUAGAUUUCAUUUUGGGGGUGUAGCAUCAAGUAGUGCAAAUAUAUCACUACAACAUCAACAAGCUCCAAAUCCUGAUGAAGCAGUGUCACUUGUUGUGUCUGACACAGAGCAAAGAUCAGAUAAUGAUGCAAGUUUGCAAGAUUGUUCUUCUGUUUCAAGGGAUGGUUCCAGGGAAAUGUGUGCAUCGAUAAUAGCCAAAUUGCAGGGUAAUGGUGUUGCAAACAGUUUAAUUAUGUCAGUUGUUGAAAGCAUGGAGGAUUUUGUUGAUGAUUUUCAUACAAGUUUAAGAGAGAGAAUUUUAAAUGUCGUGCCAGUUGAUAGCACAAGUAGAAGUUCAGUUGACGAAGUUUUUAAUAGUUUUCAUAAUCCGUUCUCUGAUUUUAAUACCGAUACAAAAUGGAGGAAAUAUUUCAGUGAGAAAUGGGGGGUUGUCGAGCCUAUUGAAAUGCAUUUAGGUGUCAGAUACGAUUCAAGAAGAAAUAAAAUCUCUGGAAUGUUUGAACAGAUUCCAGUUAAUGACACGUUCAUAUAUAUAUAUCCCUCUUCUGAAGACUCUUGUUCAUUUUUAGGAAUGAUGAAGUGUGUAAUCUCAUUCAAGGGAAAUAGCAAAGUGAUAUGUAUCGAGAUUUUUGUGAUGGACAGUAUUACAAAAACCAUCCAUUGUACUCCAUCCAUAGUGGGGAUCACUUCAGAUCCAAAUUUACUAUGAUGAUUUCGAAACAGCAAACCCAUUAGGAUCUAAACAUGGGAUUCAUAAACUUGGCUGUUUAUAUUUUGUGCUUCGAAACUUGCCACCACACAUAAAUUCUUCCUUAAUGAACAUACAUCUAAUUUCUUUGUUCCAUUCUGAAGAUGCGAAAAAAUAUGGCAUGGACAAAAUACUUGGCCCAUUAGUUGAUGAUGUGAAAGAACUUGUGCAGAAGGGAAUGAAGAUGUCAUUUUCUGAGGAGCCCGUUUUUGGGACUAUUUCGCAAAUUACCGGCGAUAACCUUGGUCUAAAUGGUAUUCUUGGUUACGUCGAGUCUUUUUCUGCAAAACAUUAUUGCAGACUUUACCUCACUGACAAGGUUUUAGCACAGGAAGUAUUUAGUGAGGAUGAUCCGCGAGUGAUGUUGCGUAACCGAAACCUAAAUGAGGAGCAUUAUAAGUAUCUUGCUGACAACCCCAACGAAAACUCUUGUUACGGUGUUAAAAGAAAUUCUAUACUCAAUACCUUGACUUACUUUAAUGUAUCUGAGAAUUUUGUGCUGGAUAUUAUGCAUGAUAUCUUGGAAGGAGUUGCACAGUAUGAAGUGAAACUGCUUUUUGAAUACAUGAGUUGCAAUCCUAUUUCUUUCAAUUCCAUUCUUCAGAGAUUAUAUGCCUUCAACUAUGGCUAUUUGGACAAAAAUAACCGUCCAACUAAGGUCAACCUUCAGCAAGCAGGAAAUGGCAUUGGACUCAAUGCAAGUCAGACAUUGUGUCUCAUUAAGAACAUCCCUCUCGUAUUUGCCACAAGCCAUUUGAUUUACGAAUGUCCUAUGGCAAUGACAGACUAUUUUACAUUAGUUUGGAUUGUUAUUUGUAAUAAAUGUGAUUGCCUGGUGUUCAUGUGCUGGAAUAAAUUUUUGAAGGAGUUA